UACGGGGGGGGCAAGCGUUGUUCGGAUUUACUGGGCGUAAAGGGCGCGUAGGCGGCCAGCACAAGUCAGUUGUGAAAUCUCCGAGCUUAACUCGGAAAGGUCAACUGAUACUGUGCGGCUAGAGUGCAGAAGGGGCAACUGGAAUUCUUGGUGUAGCGGCGAAAUGCGUAGAUAUCAAGAGGAACACCUGCGGCGAAGGCGGGUUGCUGGGCUGACACUGACGCUGAGGCGCGAAAGCUAGGGGAGCGAACGGG
RNAcentral lists this ribosomal RNA (254 nucleotides) under uncultured bacterium. Its description in RNAcentral is "partial 16S ribosomal RNA". It matches the Rfam family "Bacterial small subunit ribosomal RNA", at positions 524 to 776 of the family's 1533-position model. The record is from RNAcentral.